AUUCCGGUUGAUCCUGCCGGACCCGACUGCUAUCGGAUUGGGACUAAGCCAUGCGAGUCAACUCCGCAAGGGGUGGCGCACGGCUCAGUAACACGUAGUCAACCUACCCUAGGGACGGGGAUAACCUCGGGAAACUGAGGCUAAACCCCGAUAGGCUAUAGCCUCUGGAAUGAGCUAUAGCUGAAAUCUAUAUGGCCCUAGGAUGGGACUGCGGCCGAUCAGGUAGUUGGUGGGGUAAUGGCCCACCAAGCCUAUAACCGGUGCGGGCUCUGAGAGGAGGAGCCCGGAGAUGGGCACUGAGACAAGGGCCCAGGUCCUAUGGGGCGCAGCAGGCGCGAAACCUCCGCAAUGGGCGAAAGCCCGACGGGGUUAGUCCGAGUGGUCCCUGCUGAAGGGGCCUUUUGCCAGCUGUAAAAAGGCUGGCGAAUAAGGGGUGGGCAAGUUUGGUGUCAGCCGCCGCGGUAAUACCAGCACCCCGAGUGGUCGGGACGAUUAUUGGGCCUAAAGCAUCCGUAGCCGGCCCAGUAAGUCCUCCGUUAAAUCCAACGGCUCAACCGUUGGGCUGCGGGGGAUACUGCUGGGCUAGGGGACGGGAGAGGCGAGGGGUAUUCCCGGGGUAGGGGUAAAAUCCACUGAUCC
Molecule: ribosomal RNA, 639 nt
Filed under: uncultured archaeon
Lineage: Archaea
Description: bacterial SSU rRNA
Rfam family: Archaeal small subunit ribosomal RNA
Source: RNAcentral